This 253-nucleotide ribosomal RNA is filed under the name uncultured bacterium. Its description in RNAcentral is "partial 16S ribosomal RNA". It matches the Rfam family "Bacterial small subunit ribosomal RNA", at positions 524 to 776 of the family's 1533-position model. The record is from RNAcentral.
UACAUAGGGUGCGAGCGUUAAUCGGAAUUACUGGGCGUAAAGCGCAUGUAGGCGGCUUGGUAUGUCGGGUGUGAAAUCCCCGGGCUCAACCUGGGAACUGCAUCCGAAACUGCCUUGCUCGAGUAUGGGAGAGGGAAGUGGAAUUUCCGGUGUAGCGGUGGAAUGCGUAGAUAUCGGAAGGAACAUCAGUGGCGAAGGCGACUUCCUGGACCAAUACUGACGCUCAGGUGCGAAAGCGUGGGGAGCAAACAGG